Molecule: transfer RNA, 88 nt
Filed under: Caenispirillum bisanense
Lineage: Bacteria; Pseudomonadati; Pseudomonadota; Alphaproteobacteria; Rhodospirillales; Novispirillaceae
Also listed under: 1 other name
Rfam family: tRNA
About the family: Transfer RNA (tRNA) molecules are approximately 80 nucleotides in length. Their secondary structure includes four short double-helical elements and three loops (D, anti-codon, and T loops).
Source: Rfam by way of RNAcentral
GGAUGGGUGGCCGAGCGGUUUAAGGCACCGGUCUUGAAAACCGGCGUGGGGUUCCGCCCCACCGUGGGUUCGAAUCCCACCCCAUCCG